This 253-nucleotide ribosomal RNA is filed under the name uncultured bacterium. RNAcentral's name for it is "partial 16S ribosomal RNA". It matches the Rfam family "Bacterial small subunit ribosomal RNA", at positions 524 to 776 of the family's 1533-position model. The record is from RNAcentral.
UACGGGGGGGGCAAGCGUUGUUCGGAAUUACUGGGCGUAAAGGGCUCGUAGGCGGCCAACUAAGUCAUACGUGAAAUCCCUCGGCUUAACCGGGGAACUGCGUCUGAUACUGGAUGGCUUGAGAUUGGGAGAGGGAUGCGGAAUUCCAGGUGUAGCGGUGAAAUGCGUAGAUAUCAGGAAGAACACCAAUGGCGAAGGCAGCUCUCUGGGACGGUACUGACGCUGAGACGCGAAAGCGUGGGGAGCGAACAGG